CAUUUUUUUUUUUUUUUUUUAAUAUUUGUAAAUAUUUUGGGAAUGUUGAAUCCUUUUUUGUAAUAAAAUAAGAAUACGUCGACCGUUGUGAAUUCUGGAGGCUUAAUAUCCGACUAUAUAGUUCUCUGGAAGUCAAUCAGCGGUCGUAAUUGCACGACAUCGUAGUAGCUGUUUCUGUGAAGAAGCUUAAGUAAUUUCCACCAAAAUGUGCUGCGGACCUUGCGGAGGCUGUUGUGGACCCUGCGGUCCUUGCUGUGGGCCCUGCGGUGGCUGCUGCGGUCCCUGUGGACCCUGCUGUGGCCCCUGCGGCGGCUGCUGUGGGCCAUGCUACUCUUGCUGUGGCCCCUGUGGCGGCUGCUGUGGUGGCUGCGGUCCCUGCUGCUAAAAGAGAGCCAUCUUCAGAACGAAA
Molecule: long non-coding RNA, 409 nt
Organism: Drosophila arizonae
Lineage: Eukaryota; Metazoa; Arthropoda; Insecta; Diptera; Drosophilidae
Source: RefSeq, a predicted model, not a curated record